GGCGCGGUGGCUCGAAAGGUAAGGCACCCAAUUGGCAAAGUGGGACGAUGCCGGUUCGAAUCCGGCCCGCGCCU
RNAcentral lists this transfer RNA (74 nucleotides) under Rhodospirillales bacterium. Its description in RNAcentral is "tRNA-OTHER". It matches the Rfam family "tRNA". From Rfam's summary of the family: Transfer RNA (tRNA) molecules are approximately 80 nucleotides in length. Their secondary structure includes four short double-helical elements and three loops (D, anti-codon, and T loops). Lineage: Bacteria; Pseudomonadati; Pseudomonadota; Alphaproteobacteria; Rhodospirillales. The record is from RNAcentral.